RNAcentral lists this ribosomal RNA (1447 nucleotides) under Epipyxis sp. PR26KG. Its description in RNAcentral is "bacterial LSU rRNA". It matches the Rfam family "Bacterial large subunit ribosomal RNA", at positions 1384 to 2879 of the family's 2925-position model. The record is from RNAcentral. Lineage: Eukaryota; Chrysophyceae; Chromulinales; Dinobryaceae.
UCGGCCCCUAAGGCGAGGCAGAAAUGCGUAGUCGAUGGGAAGCAUGUUAAUAUUCCUGCACCGACGUGUAAUGCGAUGGGGGGACGGAUCGUGGAAAGUGGUCCAGGUGUUGGAUAUCCUGGUCCCUGCAUCAUAGAGGACAGUUAGGCAAAUCCGGCUGUCAUAUACUCAAGGGUGUGGGGGGAAGUAGCUACGGCUACGAACCCAUUGGAAGUGGUCCCAAGAAAAGCCUCUAAGCUUCAGUUACACGUUGACCGUACCGCAAACCGACACAGGUGGGCGAGAUGAGUAUUCUAAGGCGCUUGAGAGAACUCAGGAGAAGGAACUCGGCAAAUUGGUACCGUAACUUCGGGAGAAGGUACGCCCUUGUAGCUUGACCAUGAACAAUGGAAGGGUGAAGGGGUUGCAAUAAAAUGGUGGCUGCGACUGUUUAAUAAAAACACAGCUCUCUGCAAACACGAAAGUGGACGUAUAGGGUGUGACGCCUGCCCGGUGCUGGAAGAUUAAAUGAUGGGGUGCAAGCUCUUGAUUGAAGUCCCAGUAAACGGCGGCCGUAACUAUAACGGUCCUAAGGUAGCGAAAUUCCUUGUCGGGUAAGUUCCGACCUGCAUGAAUGGUAUAACGACUUCUUUACUGUCUCCAGCAUAAUCUUGGUGAAUUUGAAAUGCCCGUGAAGAUGCGGGCUAUUUGCGGCUAGACGGAAAGACCCCGUGCACCUUUACUAUGAUUUUAAGUUGUAAAAUUAGAUUUUACGUGUAGCAUAGGUGGGAGCUUGUAGCACUAGUGAAAUACCACCCUUAGUGUUUAAUUUUACUUAAUUUAUUUUUAAAGACAGCUUAUGAAAGUUAGUUUGACUGGGGCGGUCGCCUCCUAAAAGGUAACGGAGGCGUACAAAGGUUUCCUCAGAUCGGUCAGAAAUCGAUCUUAGAGUGCAAAGGCAAAAGGAAGCUUAACUGUGAGACAAACAAGUCGAGCAGAGACGAAAGUCGGUCUUAGUGAUCUGACGCUGCUGUGUGGAAAGGGCGUCACUCAACGGAUAAAAGUUACUCUAAGGAUAACAGGCUGAUCUCCCCCAAGAGUUCCUAUCGACGGGGAGGUUUGGCACCUCGAUGUCGGCUCAUCGCAUCCUGGGGCGGUAGUACGUCCCAAGGGUUGGGCUGUUCGCCCAUUAAAGCGGUACGUGAGCUGGGUUCAGAACGUCGCGAGACAGUUCGGUCCAUAUCCGGCGUGGGCGUUAGAGUAUUGAGAGUGACCUUUCUCUAGUACGAGAGGACCGAGAAAGACAUACCGCUAGUGUACCAGUUAUCGUGCCAUCGGUAUAUGCUGGGUAGCUAUGUAUGGUUUGGAUAACCGCUGAAGGCAUCUAAGUGGGAAGCCGUCCUCAAGAUGAGUACUCUUAGGUUGCGGCAAGACUAGCCGUUUGAUAGGCAUCCGGUGUAAGUGUAGC